Molecule: ribosomal RNA, 274 nt
Filed under: uncultured bacterium
Lineage: Bacteria
Description: partial 16S ribosomal RNA
Rfam family: Bacterial small subunit ribosomal RNA
Source: RNAcentral
AUACGGAGGGUGCAAGCGUUACUCGGAAUCACUGGGCGUAAAGCGCGCGCAGGCGGGCUGAUAAGUUGGAUGUGAAAGCCUACGGCUCAACCGUAGAACUGCAUCCAAAACUGUCAGUCUAGAGUCUGGGAGGGGAAGAUGGAAUUAGUUGUGUAGGGGUAAAAUCCGUAGAGAUAACUAGGAAUACCAAAAGCGAAGGCGAUCUUCUGGAACAGUACUGACGCUGAGGCGCGAAAGCGUGGGGAGCAAACAGGAUUAGGAACCCUAGUAGUCC